UACCGCCCUAGUUCUGACCGUAAACGAUGCCAACUAGCGAUCCGCCGGUGGAAUUUUUGCCCUGGUGGGGAGCUUCCCGGAAACGAAAGUCUUCCGGUUCCGGGGGAAGUAUGGUUGCAAAGCUGAAACUUAAAGGAAUUGACGGAAGGGCACCACCAGGAGUGGAGCCUGCGGCUUAAUUUGACUCAACACGGGGAAACUCACCCGGCCCGGACACCGUGAGGAUUGACGGAUUGAUAGCUUCUUCAUGAUUCGGUGGAUGGUGGUGCAUGGCCGUUCUUAGUUCGUGGAGCGAUUUGUCUGGUUUAUUCCGAUAACGAGCGAGACUCUAGCCUACUAAAUAGUCCACACGUUGCCUCUGUGUGCGCGACUUCUUAGAGGGAAUAUCGGUGUUCAGCCGCAAGAAUGGAGCAAUAACAGGUCUGUGAUGCCCUUAGAUGUCCGGGGCUGCACGCGCGCUACACUGGCAAAAUCAGCGUGCUUGUCCUUCCCCGAAAGGGGUUGGUAAACCCUUGAAAAUUUGCCGUGAUUGGGAUCGGAAAUUGCAAUUAUUUUCCGUGAACGAGGAAUUCCAAGUAAGUGCGAGUCAUCAACUCGCGUUGAUUACGUCCCU
This 613-nucleotide ribosomal RNA is filed under the name Morulaimus sclerus. RNAcentral describes it as "SSU rRNA". It matches the Rfam family "Eukaryotic small subunit ribosomal RNA", at positions 1013 to 1654 of the family's 1831-position model. Lineage: Eukaryota; Metazoa; Nematoda; Chromadorea; Rhabditida; Belonolaimidae. The record is from RNAcentral.